RNAcentral lists this ribosomal RNA (340 nucleotides) under uncultured Lentisphaerota bacterium. RNAcentral describes it as "bacterial SSU rRNA". It matches the Rfam family "Bacterial small subunit ribosomal RNA", at positions 29 to 351 of the family's 1533-position model. Lineage: Bacteria; Pseudomonadati; Lentisphaerota. The record is from RNAcentral.
AACGAACGCUGGCGGCGUGGAUGAGGCAUGCAAGUCGAACGAUCAUCUGUCUGUAGCAAUACAAGCAGAUGGUAGUGGCGUAAGGGUGAGUAAUACGUGAGUAAUCUGCCUCCAAGAUGGGCAUAACCUGGCGAAAGCCGGACUAAUUCCCAAUGUGGUCGCCUGUCACAUGACGGGCUGUCUGAAGUCGGGGACCGCAAGGCCUGACACUUGGAGAUGAGCUCGCGCCCUAUCAGCUUGUUGGUGAGGUAACGGCUCACCAAGGCUUACGGGUAGCUGGUCUGAGAGGAUGGUCAGCCACACUGGGACUGAGAUACUGCCCAGACUCCUACGGGUGCAG